Molecule: ribosomal RNA, 468 nt
Filed under: uncultured bacterium
Lineage: Bacteria
Description: partial 16S ribosomal RNA
Rfam family: Bacterial small subunit ribosomal RNA
Source: RNAcentral
GACGAACGCUGGCGGCGUGCUUAACACAUGCAAGUCGAACGGAAAGGCCCUGCUUUUGUGGGGUGCUCGAGUGGCGAACGGGUGAGUAACACGUGAGUAACCUGCCCUUGACUUUGGGAUAACUUCAGGAAACUGGGGCUAAUACCGGAUAGGAGCUCCUGCUGCAUGGUGGGGGUUGGAAAGUUUCGGCGGUUGGGGAUGGACUCGCGGCUUAUCAGCUUGUUGGUGGGGUAGUGGCUUACCAAGGCUUUGACGGGUAGCCGGCCUGAGAGGGUGACCGGGCACAAUGGGACUGAGAUACGGCCCAGACGCCUACGGGAGGCAGCAGUGGGGAAUAUUGCACAAUGGGCGGAAGCCUGAGGCAGCAACGCCGCGUGCGGGAUGACGGCCUUCGGGUUGUAAACCGCUUUCGCCUGUGACGAAGCGUGAGUGACGGUAAUGGGUAAAGAAGCACCGGCUAACUACGUG